This 806-nucleotide ribosomal RNA is filed under the name uncultured bacterium. RNAcentral's name for it is "bacterial SSU rRNA". It matches the Rfam family "Bacterial small subunit ribosomal RNA", at positions 8 to 820 of the family's 1533-position model. The record is from RNAcentral.
AGAGUUUGAUCCUGGCUCAGGAUGAUUGCUGGCGGCGUGCCUAACACAUGCAAGUCGAGCGGAGCCAUAUGUUGAUUCUUCGGAUGAUUUAUAUGACUUAGCGGCGGAUGGGUGAGGAACGCGUGGAUAACCUGCCUCGCACUGGGGGAUAACAGCUGGAAACGGCUGUUAAUACCGCAUAUGCUCACGGUACCGCAUGGUACAGGGAGGAAAGAUUUAUCGGUGCGAGAUGGAUCCGCGUCGGAUUAGCCAGUUGGCGGGGUAACGGCCCACCAAAGCGAUGAUCCGUAGCCGGCCUGAGAGGGCGACCGGCCACAUUGGGACUGAGACACGGCCCAAGCUCCUACGGGAGGCAGCAGUGGGGGAUAUUGCACAAUGGGCGCAAGCCUGAUGCAGCGACGCCGCGUGAAGGAGGAAGUGCUUCGGCAUGUAAACUUCUAUCAGCAGGGAAGAAAAUGACGGUACCUGACUAAGAAGCCCCGGCUAACUACGUGCCAGCAGCCGCGGUAAUACGUAGGGGGCAAGCGUCAUCCGGAUUUACUGGGUGUAAAGGGAGCGUAGACGGCGUGACAAGUCUGAUGUGAAAACCCGGGGCUCAACUCCGGGAUUGCAUUGGAAACUGUUGUGCUUGAGUACUGGAGGGGUAAGCGGAAUUCCUGGUGUAGCGGUGAAAUGCGUAGAUAUCAGGAAGAACACCGGCGGCGAAGGCGGCUUACUGGACAGUAACUGACGUUGAGGCUCGAAAGCGUGGGGAGCAAACAGGAUUAGAUACCCUGGUAGUCCACGCCCUAAACAAGAAUACUAGG